AUUGAACGCUGGCGGCAGGCCUAACACAUGCAAGUCGAGCGGAUGAAGGGAGCUUUCUCCUGGAUUCAGCGGCGGACGGGUGAGUAAUGCCUAGGAAUCUGCCUGGUAGUGGGGGAUAACGUCCGGAAACGGGCGCUAAUACCGCAUACGUCCUGAGGGAGAAAGUGGGGGAUCUUCGGACCUCACGCUAUCAGAUGAGCCUAGGUCGGAUUAGCUAGUUGGUUGGGUAAAGGCCUACCAAGGCGACGAUCCGUAACUGGUCUGAGAGGAUGAUCAGUCACACUGGAACUGAGACACGGUCCAGACUCCUACGGGAGGCAGCAGUGGGGAAUAUUGGACAAUGGGCGAAAGCCUGAUCCAGCAAUGCCGCGUGUGUGAAGAAGGUCUUCGGAUUGUAAAGCACUUUAAGUUGGGAGGAAGGGCAGUAAGAUAAUACCUUGCUGUUUUGACGUUACCAACAGAAUAAGCACCGGCUAACUUCGUG
This 484-nucleotide ribosomal RNA is filed under the name uncultured bacterium. Its description in RNAcentral is "partial 16S ribosomal RNA". It matches the Rfam family "Bacterial small subunit ribosomal RNA", at positions 30 to 507 of the family's 1533-position model. The record is from RNAcentral.